RNAcentral lists this ribosomal RNA (425 nucleotides) under uncultured bacterium. RNAcentral describes it as "bacterial SSU rRNA". It matches the Rfam family "Bacterial small subunit ribosomal RNA", at positions 354 to 796 of the family's 1533-position model. The record is from RNAcentral.
GUGGGGAAUCUUGCGCAAUGGGCGAAAGCCUGACGCAGCCAUGCCGCGUGAAUGAUGAAGGUCUUAGGAUUGUAAAAUUCUUUCACCGGGGACGAUAAUGACGGUACCCGGAGAAGAGGCCCCGGCUAACUUCGUGCCAGCAGCCGCGGUAAUACGAAGGGGGCUAGCGUUGCUCGGAAUUACUGGGCGUAAAGGGCGCGUAGGCGGACAGUUUAGUCAGAGGUGAAAGCCCAGGGCUCAACCGUGGAAUUGCCUUUGAUACUGGCUGGCUGGAGUACGGGAGAGGUGAGUGGAACUCCGAGUGUAGAGGUGAAAUUCGUAGAUAUUCGGAAGAACACCAGUGGCGAAGGCGACUCACUGGCCCGUUACUGACGCUGAGGCGCGAAAGCGUGGGGAGCAAACAGGAUUAGAAACCCCGGUAGUCC